GACGAGGUUGCCAAGCGGUUAAGGGGAUGGACUGCUAAUCCACGCGUGGGUUCAAUCCCAUCCUCGUCG
Non-coding RNA from Danio rerio (zebrafish), 69 nucleotides. The record is from Rfam. NCBI's taxonomy places the organism in Eukaryota, Metazoa, Chordata, Actinopteri, Cypriniformes, Danionidae.